Molecule: long non-coding RNA, 663 nt
Organism: Raphanus sativus (radish)
Lineage: Eukaryota; Viridiplantae; Streptophyta; Magnoliopsida; Brassicales; Brassicaceae
Exons: 2
Source: RefSeq, a predicted model, not a curated record
UCAUUUUAUUUUAUUAAUAAGAAUAACUUUUUAAUUGUGUAAAGAAAAAAUAGAAAGUCUCUUUCUUUCUCACAGGAAUCAUCGACAGAAAAAAUAAAAUAGAAACUUGCGACUUCUUCUCCUAGGCUCAUCUCUGAUCUCAGACAGAUCCUUCUCCGUCACCACCUUCGAAGGUCACAGACGUCUUCGAUUCCGAACACCCCAACCCCAUCUCUUCUUCCUGUUUGUUGCGAGAGAGAAACCCUAACUCCACACCACCGCCUGCAAUUCCCAAAAACUUAAACACUUGGGAGAACACCAUAGCUGUUAUUUCUCAAAUUUUCAGAUGGUUGAAGAAAAUGUUGGUGCAGACGCUUGGCUUGAGUUGCGGGAAUCUGCUAUUGGAGUGAUUAUGAAGCUGAAGGAAUCAGAAUACACUUGGUCUGCAAAAUAUGUUCACUACUUUCUGACCAGUCGAUUUCCAGUCAAGAGAUUAUCAAACUCCAUAAAAAUUGUUUCAUACGAAGGGAAGGAUAGUUAUAUAGUUCAUGGUUGUGUUCAUGCUCUGGUUGUUGUCUUGCUCUAGGAAGAUGUUUUUUUCAGAUAUUUUUAAAUCAUAUGGCUGUAUCUGUAUGUAUAUUGUCCCACAUAUUAACAUGAGUCUCUAUUAACAUUGGUAAGACU